GACGAACGCUAGCGGCGUGCCUAAGGUAUGCAAGUCGAACGGGAGCUUCGGCUCCAGUGGCGAACGGUCGAGUAACACGUAGACCACCUGCCGCGCAGUGGGGGAUAACUGUGGGAAACUGCAGCUAAUACCGCAUGCGGUGCCUGGGAGCCUUCCCGGGUGACUAAAGGGGGAGGCGCAAGCUCUUUCGCUGGGCGGAUGGGUCUGCGGCCUAUCAGCUUGUUGGGNGGGGUAACGGCCUACCAAGGCGACGACGGGUAGCUGGUCUGAGAGGAUGAUCAGCCGGAC
RNAcentral lists this ribosomal RNA (288 nucleotides) under uncultured bacterium. Its description in RNAcentral is "partial 16S ribosomal RNA". It matches the Rfam family "Bacterial small subunit ribosomal RNA", at positions 28 to 313 of the family's 1533-position model. The record is from RNAcentral.